AUUGAACGCUGGCGGCAUGCCUUACACAUGCAAGUCGAACGGCAGCACGGGAGCAAUCCUGGUGGCGAGUGGCGAACGGGUGAGUAAUAUAUCGGAACGUGCCCAGUCGUGGGGAUAACGUAGCGAAAGCUACGCUAAUACCGCAUACUAUCUAUGGAUGAAAGCGGGGGAUCGCAAGACCUCGCGCGAUUGGAGCGGCCGAUAUCAGAUUAGGUAGUUGGUGAGGUAAAGGCUCACCAAGCCGACGAUCUGUAGCUGGUCUGAGAGGACGACCAGCCACACUGGGACUGAGACACGGUCCAGACUCCUACGGGAGGCAGCAGUGGGGAAUUUUGGACAAUGGACGCAAGUCUGAUCCAGCCAUUCCGCGUGCAGGAUGAAGGCCCUCGGGUUGUAAACUGCUUUGUACGGAACGAAAGGUUUCUAUUAAUACUAGGAGCUCA
RNAcentral lists this ribosomal RNA (443 nucleotides) under uncultured bacterium. RNAcentral's name for it is "bacterial SSU rRNA". It matches the Rfam family "Bacterial small subunit ribosomal RNA", at positions 30 to 472 of the family's 1533-position model. The record is from RNAcentral.